Molecule: ribosomal RNA, 398 nt
Filed under: uncultured bacterium
Lineage: Bacteria
Description: bacterial SSU rRNA
Rfam family: Bacterial small subunit ribosomal RNA
Source: RNAcentral
GAAUAUUGGACAAUGGGGGAAACCCUGAUCCAGCAAUGCCGCGUGAGUGAUGAAGGCCUUCGGGUUGUAAACCACUUUCAGGAGGGAAGAAAUUGACGGUACCUCCAAAAGAAGCACCGGCCAACUACGUGCCAGCAGCCGCGGUAAUACGUAGGGUGCAAGCGUUAUCCGGAAUCAUUGGGCGUAAAGAGCUCGUAGGCGGUUCAGCAAGUCGGCUGUGAAAGUUCAAGGCUCAACCUUGAAAAUGCAGUCGAUACUGCUGUGACUAGAGUCUGGUAGAGGAGAAUGGAAUUCCCGGUGUAGCGGUGGAAUGCGCAGAUAUCGGGAGGAACACCAGUAGCGAAGGCGGUUCUCUGGGCCUCGACUGACGCUGAGGAGCGAAAGCAUGGGUAGCAAAC